RNAcentral lists this long non-coding RNA (1513 nucleotides) under Canis lupus familiaris (dog). RNAcentral's name for it is "lncRNA (ENSCAFG00000053015.1, ENSCAFG00845001832.1)". The record is from RNAcentral. Lineage: Eukaryota; Metazoa; Chordata; Mammalia; Carnivora; Canidae.
UUUUUGUUGCCUGAUUGCUGAGGCUAGGACUUCUAGUACUAUGCUGAAUAGCAGUGGUGUGAGUGGACAUCCCUGUCAUGUUUCUGAUCUUAGGGGAAAGGCUUGCAGUGUUUCUCCACUGAGAAUGAUAUUUGCUGUGGGCUUUUCAUAGAUGGCUUUUAAGAUGUUGAGGAAUGUUCCCUCUAUCCCUACACUCUGAAGAGUUUUGAUCAGGAAUGGAUGCUGUAUUUUGUCGAAUGCUUUCUCUGUAUCUAUUGAGAGGAUCAUAUGGUUCUUGUUUUUUCUCUUAUUGAUAUGAUCUAUCACGUUGAUUGCUUUAUGAGUGUUGAACCAACCUUGCAUCCCGGGGAUAAAUCCCACUUGGUCAUGGUGGUUAAUGUACUGUUGUAUCCUAUUGGCUAGUAUCUUGUUGAGAAUUUUUGCAUCUGUGUUCAUCGAGGAUAUUGGUCUAUAAUUCUCCUUUUUGGUGGGGUCUUUGUCUGGUUUUGGAAUUAAGGUGAUGCUGGCCUCAUAAAACGAGUUUGGAAGUAUUCUGUCCAUUUCUAUCUUUCAGAACAGCUUUAGUAGAAUUGGUAUUGUUUUUUCCUUAAACUUUGAUAGAAUUCCCCUGGGAAGCCAUCUGGCCCUCCCUGGGCUUUUGUGUCUUGGGAGGUUUUUGAUGACUGCUUCAAUUUCCUCCCUGCUCUUUGGCCUGUUCAGGUUUUCUAUUUCUUUUCUGUUUCAGUUUUGGUAGUUUGUGGUUUUCCAGAAAUGCAUCCAUUUCUUCUAGAUUGUCAAUUUAUUGGGAUAUAGCUGCUCAUAAUAUGUUUUUAAAAUUAUUUGUAUUUCCUUGGUAUCGGUUGCAAUCUCUCCUUUUUCAUUAGUGAUUUUAUUAAUUUGAGUCUUUUUUGUUUUUAAUAAGGCUGGCUAAUUGUUUAUCUAUCUUAUUAAUUCUUUCAAAGCACAAACUCCUGUUUUUGUUGAUCUGUUCACAGUUCUUCUGGUCUCUAUUUUAUUGAGUUCUGCUCAAAUUUUUGUUAACUCGCUUCUGCUUGGUGUUGGUUUUAUUUGCUGUUCUUUCUCCAGUUCCUUUAGGUGCAAGGAUAACUUGCGUAUUUGAGUUUUCUCCAAUUUUUUGAGGGAGACUUGUAUGGUGAUGUAUUUCCCUCUUGUGACUGCUUAUGCUGUAUCCCAAAGAUUUUGAAUGGUUGUAUCUUCAUUUUUAUUAGUUUCCAUUGAUCUUUUUAAUUCUUUUCUAAUUUCCUAUUUGACUCAUUCAUCUUUUAGCAGGAUACUGUUUAACCUUCACGUGUUUUAGUUUCUUCCAAAUUUCUUCUUGUGAUUGAGUUCUAGUUUCAAAGCAUUGUGGUCUGAAAAUAUGCAGGGGACAAUCCCAAUCUUUUGGUAUGGAUUGAGACCUGUAUUGACCCAGUAUGUGGACUAUUCUGGAGAAAGUUCCAUAUGCACUUGAGAAGAAUGUGUAUUCAGUAGCAUUCAGAUGCAAAGUUCUGUAUAUAUCUGUGAAAUGCAUCUG